RNAcentral lists this long non-coding RNA (1767 nucleotides) under Chinchilla lanigera (long-tailed chinchilla). RNAcentral's name for it is "lncRNA (ENSCLAG00000029044.1)". Lineage: Eukaryota; Metazoa; Chordata; Mammalia; Rodentia; Chinchillidae. The record is from RNAcentral.
UUUCAUUCUAACUUUAGAAGCAGCAGAAAGCAAAUGUUUGGUUCUUUGCAGAAUUUGGAUCACUAGAAGAUAACAACUGGAGCAAUCUACUACCAAAGAUACAAACCAUGGAAACCAGGGAUAGACAUUAGGCCCCCACAUCACACCCCAUGCUAUAAGGCCAUGAAAAUGCAAGAACGGAGAUAUACACGCCUGUGCUGGACAAGGAGAAAUCAGCUCUAGGAGCACACAGCGUGGUGGAGAAGACCCUACAAGGUCCAGGUUGCAGAUGAAGAUGGACUCAAAGGAGGGGAUAAGAAAGGAUAUGGCCUCGGAUAUAUAUGCAAAUCAAUUGUUCAGGUCUGAGAAAUCCGGUGGGGGGUCUCGGGCUUCUCUCACUGACCUAUUGCUGUACUCUGUGCGUGAAUGUGCUUGGCAAACCCUUCAGAAUGAGCGAGUUCUGGUAGCUUCUCUGCCUCUGCCUGUUGGCAACUCCAGAGGGACUGGUUCUUACUGGGGGAUCCACUGUUUCUCAGGGGAGGUUGGGAAUAGACUCAGGAAGGUAUCCAUGGCGACGGUCCAGAGACGGGAGCAGCGAGCGAGCCGCCCUGGAGAUGAGACAGCACUGGACCCGGACUGUGGGGUGCAGCUUGUUCACAGGCGUUCCCCUGGGCCCUACCAUCCGGCAGUCACCGCAACAAUGAGGCAGCACAUUGUUAAAUGUGUGUAAAAUUACUUGUGACCAGAAUCAAAUCUUGUUGUGACGGGGAACAUACCGGCCCAAACUUAAGGACGCUGACAGACUUCCAGGCUGAAGAAGACCCAAAGGUGAUGAGAGCUGACCGCCCAGCUGUUCCCAUGCACAGUAACCCGGGCGGGAGGAGCAGCGUGGUGUGUGACAAGUUGGCAGCAACUCGGGCCACCCUGAGGCACGCUCAGAUGGAGAACAAGGAAGAAUAUUACAUAUUUGAACUCUGGCAAUUUUUACUCUUCAGCUAUGAAGGGCAGGAGAGCGAAUGCUGUCACUAAAGGUGUCCAUUCCCAGGGGCUCCCGAGAAUGCCGCGCGGUCACGCUUAGUGCUUCUGAUGAUGCCCUAGGCAGAAAGUCACGCCUGCACCUGGAAGGAGGCUACAGUUUUUUGGCACAAUGACAUUUUUAUGGAGAAGUUUGUCACUAUUUGUCUGGUACUGUGAUUUCUACCGAGGUCAGAGCUGAGGGAGAAACCCAGCAUUGACCGCAUUCCUCGGCCCCACCACGGAGGGCAGGUGUGCACCGCCCAAGCGGAAAACCACAAGGUUGUUUUGUUGAAUGGAAAAUUACUCACCUAAGGUCUGGUCCAGCAGUUAGGUCAUGUUUGUUCUUAGAAACAGCCUCAGCUGAGGGUGUAGAGUAUGUGGGCGCCUUGUCUUCCAUGCACCUUCAUGACGCCACUGUUGCUGUCAUCAGCAGAUGAGCUACCCCCUCCCCCAUGUGCAUGUUUGCGUUCUAGCACGGGCACACAGAAAAGCGGUGCUUUGCAAAGGCCUUUGUUAGCUGUGCAUUAGGCUCUGAUUCAAGGUGGUAUUGACUCUCACAAUCCGAAUGCAAAAAUAGGCAGAACAAAGCAGACAGCUCUGUCUCCAGAUACUCCUUACACAUUCCAGCUUUUUUCUGAGCCAAUGACCAUGUUACAUGAGGAUGGGACAUUUCACAUUUAGGUUGUGCUGGCUGCUGUUCUCUCCAAAAGAAAGUGGAAGAAAUUUAUUGGCAAAAAGCAUGGGAAAGCCUCGCAAGUGCAAAGAUUAGCA